This 387-nucleotide ribosomal RNA is filed under the name uncultured bacterium. RNAcentral describes it as "bacterial SSU rRNA". It matches the Rfam family "Archaeal small subunit ribosomal RNA", at positions 339 to 726 of the family's 1478-position model. The record is from RNAcentral.
GCGCGAAAACUUUACAAUGCUGGCAACAGCGAUAAGGGAACCUCGAGUGCCAGGUUACAAAUCUGGCUGUCGAGAUGCCUAAAAAGCAUUUCAUAGCAAGGGCCGGGCAAGACCGGUGCCAGCCGCCGCGGUAACACCGGCGGCUCGAGUGGUAACCGUUAUUAUUGGGUCUAAAGGGUCUGUAGCCGGCCGGAUAAGUCUCUUGAGAAAUCUGGCAGCUUAACUGUCAGGCUUUCAGGAGAUACUGUCUGGCUCGAGGCCGGGAGAGGUGAGAGGUACUUCAGGUGUAGGGGUGAAAUCUUGUGAUCCUUGAAGGACCACCAGUGGCGAAGGCGUCUCACCAGAACGGACCUGACGGCGAGGGACGAAAGCUGGGGGCACGAACCG